AUUGAACGCUGGCGGCAUGCCUUACACAUGCAAGUCGAACGGCAGCACGGGUGCUUGCACCUUGUGGCGAGUGGCGAACGGGUGAGUAAUACAUCGGAACAUGUCCUGUAGUGGGGGAUAGCCCGGCGAAAGCCGGAUUAAUACCGCAUACGAUCUACGGAUGAAAGCGGGGGACCUUCGGGCCUCGCGCUAUAGGGUUGGCCGAUGGCUGAUUAGCUAGUUGGUGGGGUAAGGGCCUACCAAGGCGACGAUCAGUAGCUGGUCUGAGAGGACGACCAGCCACACUGGGACUGAGACACGGCCCAGACUCCUACGGGAGGCAGCAGUGGGGAAUUUUGGACAAUGGGCGAAAGCCUGAUCCAGCAAUGCCGCGUGUGUGAAGAAGGCCUUCGGGUUGUAAAGCACUUUUGUCCGGAAAGAAAUCCUUGGCCCUAAUACGGUCGGGGGAUGACGGUACCGGAAGAAUAAGCACCGGCUAACUACGUG
Molecule: ribosomal RNA, 486 nt
Filed under: uncultured bacterium
Lineage: Bacteria
Description: partial 16S ribosomal RNA
Rfam family: Bacterial small subunit ribosomal RNA
Source: RNAcentral